Molecule: transfer RNA, 74 nt
Filed under: Mycoplasmataceae bacterium
Lineage: Bacteria; Bacillati; Mycoplasmatota; Mollicutes; Mycoplasmatales; Mycoplasmataceae
Description: tRNA-Trp
Rfam family: tRNA
About the family: Transfer RNA (tRNA) molecules are approximately 80 nucleotides in length.
Source: RNAcentral
AGGGAUUUAGUUCAACGGUAGAAUAAAGGUCUCCAAAACCUCUGAUGUGGGUUCAACUCCUAUAAUCCCUGCCA